This is an unclassified non-coding RNA of Polistes dominula (European paper wasp), 2587 nucleotides long. The record is from RefSeq and is a predicted model, not a curated record. NCBI's taxonomy places the organism in Eukaryota, Metazoa, Arthropoda, Insecta, Hymenoptera, Vespidae.
GCGUGCAUAGUGUUUACUUCAUAUUUUUCAUUAACAAUUGUUGAAAACGUGAUACUUAUUUAUGAAAAGUAGUAUUUAUUUAAAAAUGGUAAAUAAAUGUAUUGUUCAUGGGUGUACAAGUGGACUAGUCAAGUUUCGUAAUAGGAAUGCUAAAUUAAAUCGGAGAAAUACGUCUUUAUUCACUGUACCACAGCACCCUGAUCUGGUAAAAUUUCGGAGUAGUGGAUUAAACCAGCAAUUAAUACCAAAAAAACAAUACGUUUGUGAGUUACACUUUAACGAAGAGGAUAUCAUUAAGAGUGAUAAAAUAAAAAUGGCUAAUGGGAUUGAAGAAAUAUUUAGGGAAAGGUAUUCACUUAAGCCCGAAGCUAUUCCAACGUUAAAUCCUACCAAGUUGUGUAAAAUCAGGAGUAAUACUAAUAGUAGUAGUAAUACAGUUAAAACUCCAAAUGUUGUAUGUGAUAUACUAUCAACAAAUGGAAGUGUUAAUAAUGUUGAUACCAGUGGAAGUGUAGCAAAGAAAAAUGAGAAAAUGAUAAUAAUUAAUAAUUCUGUGGUAAAAAUUGUGACCGUCCAAAAAGUACAGUUGCUUCACUAACUUCUGAAGAAAUUAAUAAUUAUGAGAAUGAAGAACAGAUAAAAAAAAUUCUUCACACGAAUUGCCUGGUUCAAAGAUUGAUGUUAAGAAGUAAUCUACAUCAACAAUUAUUAAUGUGCUAGAAUUCAAAGCUUUACCAAAAAAAUGGCUAAAAAGUAAAGUAAAGAAUUUGAAAUUUCGUGUUACAAUUAAUGACAAAUCCAAUAUCUCGGUGUUUAUCAUCGUGCAUUGGUGUGUCACAGCCUAACGAAAAGUACAAGAAACAAAUGAAUGGUUUCCGAUGUGUUGCUUGCCGAAAAUUGCGACACAAAUUACUGAAUCAUGAUUAUCUGAUAUCAAAGAUCGCUAUGAUAGUUUGAAAUAUCAGGACAGUCUCAAAGAAAAGCAAAUUAAGCGUCUUAAACGAAAAAUUAAAUCACUCUUACAAAUAAUUAAAGCGCAAAAAGUGAACUCUAUGGCAAAUAAAGAUGAAGCUUUAAGAAAUGAGAUUUCUAUCCCACCUCCGUUACAACAAUUAGCAGUCCGUGCUUGUUUUAACGCUGUAAAGGCUAAAACUACAAAACAAAGAAGAUAUACGGUACAUUGGGUUUAUGAAUGUUUAUUACUUUGCAUAAAAAAUGCAUCUGUGUAUGAUCGACUCAGAGAAAGUUAAAUCCUCUCUUUUCUUUGCAAAAACACACUUAAUAGAUACAUCCAGAAGUUGGGAAAACUCAGUAUUUCUGCUGGUAAAUGUCGGAAUAAAUAAUUAAAACAUACAUCAAAUUUAUGUAAUAAGUGACUUUCUAGAAUAUUCACUAUGGCACGGUCUCGGAGUAAUCCAUCACCAGGACCAGGGACAGCGCGUUAUACGCACGUCGGUUGUUACUCCGCGCAACCAGUGACCAAAACAGUACCUGGAGAUUUGAAAUUAUUCGUAGGACUUAAAAAGCAAUCGUCGCAAGUGAAUUAAAAAUAUCUAUUACUUAUUUAUUUUAAGUAGCCUUUUAUGCUAUCCUAAUUUACAUAACUCAACUUACAGAUUUCAUCAAUAACAGUUGCUAAUUACAUAUAAAAAAAAAAGAAUGAUAAACAAUUUUACAUUAUAAACGAAUAAAGCUAACAAAAAUAUAAUAGAAGAAAUCUUAUAAUCCACUUCUGUAUGGUAUAUCCUAAAACAUGGAUCAACAUAUAACGCUACAUUACAUUCCUUGCAUUCAUACCUGGUUUCUCUACCAAUUCUGUGAUUACUGCAUACUGCACAUUUUCGAAGAGGAUUUUUUUUUUUUUUUGGCAGACGGAUUCAUAUAUUUGCUUGAACAAUACCUUUCAAUAAGACGUAAUGGGCUACCAUCCAUAUUACUACCUCUUCGGGCCCAUAGAACUCUUGUAGUCUAGAAUACUUACGUCUGCUGUAUAUAUCGAUGGGCUCCUAAGAACGUAUAUAUACGCCUACCGUGCAUAUUGAUGGAUUUCGCAGAACGUAUAUUUACGUCUACCGUAUAUAUUGAUGGACUUCUAAGAAUGUAUAUAUACGUUUACCGCAGUGAAAGGGUUAAAAAUGUUGGAAUUUAAAGCUAAUGACAAAAAACUACUUAAGAAAAAAAGCCGGAACACAAGAAGGAGAAAUUUGCAAAUGAAAGAGAAGAAGUUAAAAAAUUCUUGUUCGCAAUCACUUCCAGUACUCUUACCAUAUUGAAAAUGACCUUACAAGCAACUCUUGAACUGGAAGAAUUUUUACACAAAGAAUGCAACUACGAAUAUUUAUUUAUUGACGUCUCACCUUAAUCAAGAUCAACUGGAAAAAUUUUUUGCUAUCAUAAAAAGUGUUUGUUGCUGUAAUGAUCAUUCAGACACCAUUCUAUUUGGACAGGUUCUCCAAUGACUAUGUUCAUAUUUGCUAGUCACCAAAAAGUCACAAAAGAGUCUAAUGUGAGGUCAUUUCAAUAGUUUGCCUUUAAGAUGUUAAAAAUAAAAAAGAAAUGUUGUUCUAAUAAAUAAUUGAGUAGUUAA